This 386-nucleotide long non-coding RNA is filed under the name Mus musculus (house mouse). Its description in RNAcentral is "zinc finger, NFX1-type containing 1, antisense RNA 1". The record is from RNAcentral. Lineage: Eukaryota; Metazoa; Chordata; Mammalia; Rodentia; Muridae.
CUUUCGUUCCGGCGGCUCCUAGAGCGUUUGCUUUGUUCCCGAUAUGUCUCGUCCCUCCGGGGUUAACUUGCAGAUGGUUGACCUGACCAAGCAGGACAGCAUGGAGGUUGGAGGGAGAGAAGGGCAUCGAGGGAGAUGAGAACUCACCUACCAUCUGAAAGUCUUAAGGUUUGCUGACAGACAAAACCGGGCUUUGAAUGGAGCGUGAACUCCUGAGGCGAGCAUUGAAUACCAGAUGUGUUCCUGCUGCCCAGCCCCACAAGGCUAUGCAGAAUGCAAAGAAGAGUUACUUUUUGGCUGGGGAGUAGUGGUAUCAUGUGCACUAUUGCUGGAAAUAAUAAAUAUUGGCCUAUCUGUAGAAAUAAAAAUCUGACUAAUGAUAUUUA